AGCCACAGCACAUCAUCCCAGAAAAACCAGUGGGGUCUUUGAGUCACAGGCAGCCCUCCCUGGAACAUAAAAACAUAAACAUAAAUAAAGGUCUCUCCUUUAUUGCCAUUAAUGGGAACAUUUCCUGGCACUGGUCAGAUGACAAACUCUUUUUCCCAGUUCCCUCAGCCAACUCAGUAACCAUGGCAACUGUCUCCAGUGUAAUGACAUCAUAUGGUUUCCUAGGCAACUGUUCCCAGUGCAAUGACGUCAUGUGGUCACCAUGGCAAUGCUCCAUGAGGCCAGGAAGAAAGUAUUUGAAGUGGGAAGAUAGGUCAGAAAGGACAAAAGAGGGCUCAGGGAAGAGCAGGAUGAAAGAUAAUGGAGGUCAGAGAUGCUGAAGCACAGCAUGGUCACAGGAAGUUUGAGUGUGGCUCAGGCGCUGAUUUAGUGGAGGGACUUUGGACAAUCCAGGAGAAACUGCCAGAAAUCUCCAGAGAGACACCAGGGGAAAUCACUCUCUACAGAAUAUACGAGUACUUUUUCUAAUACAAGGUACAUUUUCUAAUAUAUUUCCCUUCUCUGACUGAUUACCCAGGGCUCUGUCACAGCAGUGCCAAGAACCAGGUGUCACUGCCAUGCCUUACAGGGCUGGAGAAGAUUCCUUUGCCCUCUUCCUUCUGUUCUCUGUACUUGAAGACAUGAUAACAAUAACCUGGCCAGCUGACAAAUGAAAAUGGGUUUUCCUUUGACUGAAAGCUCCUUCAGCACCUCAUCAAGGUAGAAGAAUGUCCCUUCUUUUUAAUUUUCUAGAUCUUCUUCCAAUUCUAUUAUACUCUCAAAUGUUAGAGUUUGCUGAAGAUAAAUAUCCUUUCUGCAUUCAAUCCUGUUUAAUUCUGGACAGUUUCAGCCAGUA
RNAcentral lists this long non-coding RNA (895 nucleotides) under Manacus vitellinus (golden-collared manakin). RNAcentral's name for it is "lncRNA (ENSMVIG00005003251.1)". The record is from RNAcentral. Lineage: Eukaryota; Metazoa; Chordata; Aves; Passeriformes; Pipridae.